UAAAAAAAGGUAAGCUACUAAGAGCGAAUGGUGGAUGCCUUGACUGGUAAAGGCGAUGAAGGACGUACUAGACUGCGAUAAGCUACGGGGAGCUGUCAAGAAGCUUUGAUCCGUAGAUUUCCGAAUGGGGCAACCCAAUGUAUAGAGAUAUACAUUACCUAUAUAGGAGCGAACGAGGGGAAUUGAAACAUCUUAGUACCCUCAGGAAAAGAAAUCAAUAGAGAUUGCGUCAGUAGCGGCGAGCGAAAGCGCAAGAGGGCAAACCCAGUGCUUGCACUGGGGGUUGUAGGACUGCAAUGUGCAAGAGCUGAGUUUAGCAGAACAUUCUGGAAAGUAUAGCCAUAGAGGGUGAUAGUCCCGUAUGCGAAAAACAAAGCUUAGCUAGCAGUAUCCUGAGUAGGGCGGGACACGAGGAAUCCUGUCUGAAUCCGGGUCGACCACGAUCCAACCCUAAAUACUAAUACCAGAUCGAUAGUGCACAAGUACCGUGAGGGAAAGGUGAAAAGAACUGAGGUGAUCAGAGUGAAAUAGAACCUGAAACCAUUUGCUUACAAUCAUUCAGAGCACUAUGUAGCAAUACAGUGUGAUGGACUGCCUUUUGCAUAAUGAGCCUGCGAGUUGUGGUGUCUGGCAAGGUUAAGCAAACGCGAAGCCGUAGCGAAAGCGAGUCUGAAUAGGGCGCUUAGUCAGAUGCUGCAGACCCGAAACGAAGUGAUCUAUCCAUGAGCAAGUUGAAGCUAGUGUAAGAACUAGUGGAGGACUGAACCCAUAGGCGUUGAAAAGCCCCGGGAUGACUUGUGGAUAGGGGUGAAAGGCCAAUCAAACUUCGUGAUAGCUGGUUCUCUCCGAAAUAUAUUUAGGUAUAGCGUUGUGUCGUAAUAUAAGGGGGUAGAGCACUGAAUGGGCUAGGGCAUACACCAAUGUACCAAACCCUAUCAAACUCCGA
RNAcentral lists this ribosomal RNA (946 nucleotides) under Campylobacter jejuni. RNAcentral describes it as "partial 23S ribosomal RNA". It matches the Rfam family "Bacterial large subunit ribosomal RNA", at positions 1 to 959 of the family's 2925-position model. The record is from RNAcentral. Lineage: Bacteria; Pseudomonadati; Campylobacterota; Epsilonproteobacteria; Campylobacterales; Campylobacteraceae.